UGUUUUCAAAUACUUCUGUUUGGAAAGUUGGCUACUUGUUAAUGAAUAUUCUGGUACAAGAAUGUCAGGAAAUCUUAGUUAAAAAUCUUAGUUACAGCAAAGAUAGAAAAACAACUAUUCUGAGUAUCAUUCAAAUUCACAGCUUGUGUGGGAAGGCAAAUUCCUUGGGAGACCGAAUAACCCCUGAACUUUUCUGGAAACUGUCUCAUUAUUGGAAGUUUCUUUUUGUAUGAAUUUUUAAUUUGGAGCAGGGACCUUUGAAAAUUUAGAUUUUGAAGUUCAUAACAACAGAAACAUGGAUUUUUUUCCUCUGGGCUAAAUUCGAGUAUUGUUAAAUCCUAUCACCCCACUGCAGUGUAUUGGAAUAAGGUCACAACUGGAAUUUGACCAUGUGGCUGAAACGUGCUUUGCUUGUUGACAAUGUCUUCUCAUUCUCCAGCUCAUAUUGCUGUGCACAAUGCCUUCUGUGAAAUAAAGCCCUGGAAUUACAGUGGAAGUUUGUUCUGGACGACUGGAUUAAAGCAGGGUUUUUGCAGCCACAAAGGAAGAUAUGGAGAUACAAAGUAACUUCAGUGCUGAUGAGGUUUUCACCUUGGGGCAUGUGUAUGCAAUAGACUUCCUCCUGUUGGAAGCUUCUUGCCUUGACCAUGUUGAAAGUGCAGAGUGUGCUGAUAUGAUGGAACGUGGGGGACACCUAGCUAAGGUCAUCAUGAGCUCUGUAAGAAGGCCAUGUGUGCUUGCAUGUCUAAAGUAACAACAUAUAUGUACACGUGUGUAUGUAUUUAGAGUUGGGCCAGAAUCACUUCCCCCCCCCCACACCUCAGUGAAGUUGCAUUUUGUUUGGUAACCAGGUUUCAUUCUCAGGAGGUCUAGGACUGGUGCUGUCUGGUUUUUUGUUUGUUUGGAAAUUCUCUGUAAUGCAGACUGGCCUGGCCCAUCAAGGGUUUGUUGGUAUGGUAACAGAAAGUAAUUUAAAUUUGUUUUGUAUCAUUCUAGUUUGAGUUCAAAAUACUUCCUCACUCUAUAUAUCAUAAAUUUUUGUGCUUAGGUAGAUUUUGUAUAUUUAGUAUAUUUGUGAUUAAGUGUGUUUUCUUGUGGUAUAGUUAACCUGUUGCCUAAAUUAAAAACUUGGUGUGAAGAUAUGGAAAUUUUACAAACCACUGCUCUUUAAAAGGAAGCUCUUCAGUCUACUGAGGUAAUGAGGAUAGCUUGAAAAUGGAAGAUCCAAAGUUUCUAUCUGUUGAAACUGGGUUGCCAACACUUUGGAUCUGGACUCUCUGAACUAUUACUAUACUGACCCUUUGGAUGCAAACACGGAGCAGCCCAGCUUUCAAGGAGUAUGUUUGGAAAGUUGGCAAGCUAGCUGUUAGUCACGCCAAAGAAGUAAACUGUAUGUUUUGUCUGCUGCAGUGUGAGUGGGCCAUAGUUCUGUUAUGAACAGAUUUGGCUGGCAAGCUUUGUUAACUGCAGACAGCUUAAGCAUUACACCACAGGAAUGGCAGGUGCCUUGCUUUGGUAACACACUCUGAAGAAACUAUACCAACAGCAAAAACCUGGUGCUGUUGUGUUGUGGGAUUGGUUAUUUUUCUUCUCUCUCUCUCUCUCUUACCUGCCUGAUGAAAGAUUACUUUUGUUAUUUUAUUGCCUCUUCAGCUCAUGCACCACCUCUGGACAUGAAAUCUCAACUUCUAACAGCCAUAUUGCCAAUGACUUUAUUUGCAGAUACUUAGGGAGAAGUGGAUGAUGAAUUGCAU
Long non-coding RNA from Lonchura striata (white-rumped munia), 1754 nucleotides. The record is from Ensembl. Lineage: Eukaryota; Metazoa; Chordata; Aves; Passeriformes; Estrildidae.